AACCAUAGAAACCUGCGGAGUACCUGCGGAGGGAUCAUUACACAAAUUAAAAUAUGAAGGCUUCGGCUGGAUUAUUUUUAUCACCCUUGUCUUUUGCGCACUUGUUGUUUCCUGGGCGGGUUCGCCCGUCACCAGGACCACACCAUAAACCUUUUUUUAUGCAGUUGCAAUCAGCGUCAGUAUAACAAAUGUAAAUCAUUUACAACUUUUAACAAUGGAUCUCAGAUCGGAAGAGCACAC
Molecule: unclassified non-coding RNA, 240 nt
Filed under: soil metagenome
Description: partial contains 5.8S ribosomal RNA, internal transcribed spacer 2, and large subunit ribosomal RNA
Source: RNAcentral